Small nuclear RNA from Amphibalanus amphitrite, 201 nucleotides. RefSeq annotates it as U2 spliceosomal RNA. The record is from RefSeq and is a predicted model, not a curated record. NCBI's taxonomy places the organism in Eukaryota, Metazoa, Arthropoda, Thecostraca, Balanomorpha, Balanidae. The transcript has a single exon.
UUACCUUUCUCAAACCCAUGCCACCAACAUGCACUUAUAUACACACCUCUGUUCUUAUCAGCUUAAUAUCUGAUACGUCCCCUACAUGGGGACCAGAAUAUUAAACUGAUUUUUGGACUUUGGCGGGGUUUUUGGAGCUUGCUCCAGCCCUGCCGCGGGUUGGCCUGGCAUUGCACUACAGCCAGGAUCGGCCCACUUUUG